ACUGGGUGUGGUGAUGCAUGCCUGUAAUCCCAGUAGCUCAGGAAGCUGAGGCAGGAGGAUCGCAGGUUCAAAUCCAGCCUCGGCAAGUCAGCAAGGCCCUAAGCAACUUGGUGAGACCCUGUUUCGA
This 127-nucleotide small RNA is filed under the name Marmota monax (woodchuck). The record is from RNAcentral. Lineage: Eukaryota; Metazoa; Chordata; Mammalia; Rodentia; Sciuridae.